Molecule: ribosomal RNA, 465 nt
Filed under: Vreelandella stevensii
Lineage: Bacteria; Pseudomonadati; Pseudomonadota; Gammaproteobacteria; Oceanospirillales; Halomonadaceae
Description: partial 16S ribosomal RNA
Rfam family: Bacterial small subunit ribosomal RNA
Source: RNAcentral
CCUACGGGGGGCAGCAGUGGGGGAUAUUGGACAAUGGGGGGAACCCUGAUCCAGCCAUGCCGCGUGUGUGAAGAAGGCCCUCGGGUUGUAAAGCACUUUCAGUGAGGAAGAACGCCUGGUGGUUAAUACCCAUCAGGAAAGACAUCACUCACAGAAGAAGCACCGGCUAACUCCGUGCCAGCAGCCGCGGUAAUACGGAGGGUGCGAGCGUUAAUCGGAAUUACUGGGCGUAAAGCGCGCGUAGGUGGCUUGAUAAGCCGGUUGUGAAAGCCCCGGGCUCAACCUGGGAACGGCAUCCGGAACUGUCAAGCUAGAGUGCAGGAGAGGAAGGUAGAAUUCCCGGUGUAGCGGUGAAAUGCGUAGAGAUCGGGAGGAAUACCAGUGGCGAAGGCGGCCUUCUGGACUGACACUGACACUGAGGUGCGAAAGCGUGGGUAGCAAACAGGAUUAGAUACCCGUGUAGUC